RNAcentral lists this transfer RNA (62 nucleotides) under Cyrtodactylus irregularis. RNAcentral describes it as "tRNA-Ala". The record is from RNAcentral. Lineage: Eukaryota; Metazoa; Chordata; Lepidosauria; Squamata; Gekkonidae.
GAGGUCUUGGUUAAUAAAAGUGUUUGAGUUGCAAUCAGAAGAUGUAUUAUAUACAGGCCUUC